Molecule: ribosomal RNA, 468 nt
Filed under: uncultured bacterium
Lineage: Bacteria
Description: partial 16S ribosomal RNA
Rfam family: Bacterial small subunit ribosomal RNA
Source: RNAcentral
GACGAACGCUGGCGGCGUGCUUAACACAUGCAAGUCGAACGGAAAGGCCCUGCUCUUGUGGGGUGCUCGAGUGGCGAACGGGUGAGUAACACGUGAGUAACCUGCCCUUGACUUUGGGAUAACUUCAGGAAACUGGGGCUCAUACCGGAUAGGAGCUCCUGCUGCAUGGUGGGGGUUGGAAAGAUUCGGCGGUUGGGGAUGGACUCGCUGCUUAUCCGCUUGUUGGUGGGGUAGUGGCUUACCAAGGCUUUGACGGGUAGCCGGCCUGAGAGGGUGACCGGCCACAUGGGGACUGAGAUACGGCCCAGACUCCUACGGGAGGCAGCAGUGGGGAGUAUGGCACAGUGGGCGGAAGCCUGAUGCAGCAACGCCGCGUGCGGAAUGACGUCCUACGGGUUGUAAACCGCUUUCGCCUGUGACGAAGCGUGAGUGACGGUAAUGGGUAAAGAAGCACCGGCUAACUACGUG